RNAcentral lists this ribosomal RNA (426 nucleotides) under uncultured Azovibrio sp. RNAcentral's name for it is "bacterial SSU rRNA". It matches the Rfam family "Bacterial small subunit ribosomal RNA", at positions 356 to 774 of the family's 1533-position model. Lineage: Bacteria; Pseudomonadati; Pseudomonadota; Betaproteobacteria; Rhodocyclales; Rhodocyclaceae. The record is from RNAcentral.
GGGGAAUUUUGGACAAUGGGGGCAACCCUGAUCCAGCCAUGCCGCGUGAGUGAAGAAGGCCUUCGGGUUGUAAAGCUCUUUCGGCCGGGAAGAAAUCGUGCAGGCUAAUACCCUGUAUGGAUGACGGUACCGGAAUAAGAAGCACCGGCUAACUACGUGCCAGCAGCCGCGGUAAUACGUAGGGUGCAAGCGUUAAUCGGAAUUACUGGGCGUAAAGCGUGCGCAGGCGGUUUUGUAAGACAGUGGUGAAAUCCCCGGGCUCAACCUGGGAACUGCCAUUGUGACUGCAAGGCUGGAGUGCGGCAGAGGGGGAUGGAAUUCCGCGUGUAGCAGUGAAAUCCGUAGAGAUCGAGAGGAAUACUCAUUGCGAAGGCGACCUGCUGGAACAUUACUGACGCUGAGGUGCGAAAGCGUGGGGAGCAAACA